AACGAACGCUGGCGGCAGGCUUAACACAUGCAAGUCGAACGGGUGUAGCAAUACAUCAGUGGCAGACGGGUGAGUAACACGUGGGAACCUUCCUAGGGGUACGGAACAACUCAGGGAAACUUGAGCUAAUACCGUAUACGUCCGUGAGGAGAAAGAUUUAUCGCCCUUAGACGGGCCCGCGUCGGAUUAGCUAGUUGGUGGGGUAACGGCCAUCCAAGGCGACGAUCCGUAGCUGAUCUUAGAGGAUGAUCAGCCACACUGGGACUGAGACACGGCCCUGACUCCUACGGGAGGCAGCAGUGGGGAAUCUUGGACAAUGGGCGCAAGCCUGAUCCAGCCAUGCCGCGUGAGUGAAGAAGGUCUUCGGAUUGUAAAGCUCUUUUGCCAGGGACGAUAAUGACGGUACCUGGAGAAUAAGCCCCGGCAAACUUCGUGCCAGCCGCCGCCGUAA
RNAcentral lists this ribosomal RNA (451 nucleotides) under uncultured bacterium. RNAcentral describes it as "partial 16S ribosomal RNA". It matches the Rfam family "Bacterial small subunit ribosomal RNA", at positions 29 to 523 of the family's 1533-position model. The record is from RNAcentral.